This is an RNA transcript of Myripristis murdjan (pinecone soldierfish), 3918 nucleotides long. It is a transcript of the gene named QKI, KH domain containing, RNA binding 2, with no coding region annotated. The transcript is spliced from 8 exons. The record is from RefSeq and is a predicted model, not a curated record. NCBI's taxonomy places the organism in Eukaryota, Metazoa, Chordata, Actinopteri, Holocentriformes, Holocentridae.
UCGUGCUGCUAUACUGUAAUCAUAUGAUAGGGACUCGAUCCCCGCUGCAGAAUACCGAUACAUCGGGCGGAUAAACGGAGGAUUUGGGCGGAGGAAAGUUGAAGGUAGACUUGAGCCUAAAAGAAGUGCGUGAAAGUGGUUAAGCUGCCGCCGCAGUAUCGCGUAGGAGAACAGAGCAAACUCCCAAAAAAGGAACUUUCUCAAACUCUGAAGUGAGUCGGAUAGAGGGGGAGACCAUUUGGAAAGGGGCAUAUUCGGCACACAGAGAAGGUAUUUUUCCAAAAGGACAGUCGAAUAAACUGGUGCUGGUGCUGCCGAGACCUCUUUUCCGAAACAGCGGGGCUGGACUUUGAGAGAGGCGGUCGGUCAGCGGGUCGAGGCCGGAUCCCGUUGGGUUCUCGCAUCGUUUAGGGGGGAGAGUUUUUUUUCUCCGCUGCCGAAGUUUUCCCCUUUUUUGAGUAAAGUUCAACGCCAAUUUAGUGCUCAAAAAACAUGGUCGGGGAGACCGAGGUGAAGGAGAGACCCAAGUCCAGCCCGGACUAUCUAAUGCAGCUGAUGAACGACCGGAAGGUGAUGAGUUCCCUUCCCAACUUCAGCGGCAUCUUCACGCAUCUGGAGCGGCUCCUGGAUGAAGAAAUCGGUAGGGUACGCAAGGACAUGUACAAUGACACACUGAAUGGAGGCAUGUUGAAUGGGCGGGACUUCGAGGAGCUUCCUGAGGCGAUCGGCCCUGUGGCUCAGCUGCAGGAGAAGCUCUACGUGCCUGUCAAAGAAUACCCAGACUUUAACUUUGUAGGCAGAAUCCUGGGCCCGCGUGGACUGACGGCCAAACAGCUGGAGGCAGAGACGGGCUGCAAGAUCAUGGUGCGAGGAAAGGGCUCCAUGAGAGACAAGAAGAAGGAGGAGAUGAACAGAGGGAAGCCCAACUGGGAGCAUCUCAGCGAGGACCUCCACGUCCUGAUCACGGUGGAGGAUACACACAACCGCGCCCAGAUCAAGCUACAGCGGGCCACCGCCGAGGUCAAGAAACUCCUCAUCCCCGCUGCUGAGGGGGAGGACAGUCUGAAGAAGAUGCAGUUGAUGGAGCUGGCCAUUCUCAAUGGAACCUACAGAGACGCCAAUGUCAAGAUGCCCACCAUGGCCUUUCCCCUAGCAUCCCCUCAGGCGCCUCGAAUCAUCACAGGCCCGUCGCCCGUCCUGCCUCCCGCCCUGCGGAACCCCGCCCCCGUCACCACGCCAACUAUCAUGCCUCUGAUACGUCAGAUCCAGAGCUCCACCCUCGUGCCGGGCGCCAAUCCUCACCUCGUGCAGCAAGCGCCCGAGUCUGGAAUCAUCUACACGCCCUACGAGUAUCCCUACACACUCACACCCUCCAUACUGGAAUACCCCAUUGACUCUACUGGAGUAUUAGGUAUGGCUUUCCCAACCAAAGGCUAAGCGAUAGCAACCCCUCCUAGCACACACAUGGACUGAGACCCACAUAUGUGCCCUACAUAGCAAACCGAGAGAGUUUGCUCACACUUAGGAUGGCAGAUUCCUUGACAGUCACACUGUAGUAAUUUGUUGUCCAUUCCUUCACUCAUGACUACGUUGAUUUCUUCUCUGUUUUAGCAGACUUGCCGACUAGCGUGGUUUGAUAGCAUAACCUAUUUAACUUUUGGGUUGUUUUUUUUUUUUUGUUGUUUUAAUAGCCCAGCUUCAGCUUGUAAUUUUAACACAUACUAGUGAACACUUAGAUAUUAUAGCGCUGCUGUUUGUGAUUUAGUGUGUGUUCAAACUUAUUUUGAUCAGAGAGCUAUGGAGUGACCUUGACUAUAGCCAAGGUUGGAUCUGCUAUUCAGCCUUAUAGUGAGAAAUUAGUGAAUUGGACUAAUAUUUACUCUUCUGGGAUAAACGUAAGAAGAGUACAGAGGACCACAAAAAAAAAAAAAAGACAAAAAAUUCGAUCUGUUAAGAAUGUGAUCAUUUCCUUUAUUUUCACCCUUAACCUUAAACACUUUGUAAAUGCCUGGUUUCACUGAUGUUGGUGCCAUGGGUGGACUGUUUGAUGCCUCUCUGAUGAGUAACCUGCUGUGUUCUGUUUUGGCGAUGUCAUCGCGCUGUUAGCAGGUGCCAUGACCACUAAGGUACGACGCCACGACAUGAGAAUCCAUCCUUACCAAAGGGUAGUGACCACAGACAGAGCUGCCACGGCAACUAACCCAUGACCCUUGACCUUCUGACCUUUCCGCCCACUGAUGACCCACCCAUCUCUGCCUGCUGGCGUGUUCAUUGGCCCACGGCCUUCGCCACUCCCCCAGCUCAGCCAACCAGAGACCAGCACAUUGGGAACAACCUGGCUGCUUCUGUCUAACCAGCCAACCAGAGGACAGCGAACAUGGGAAUAAACCUCACAGGACCCGCCCAACACCAAGUCCUAACCAAAUGUGCCUUCCUUCCAAAAGCCCAAAGCCAAACUAUCAGUCUAGGAAUUUCGUUUCCAUCCCAUAGUCCAAAUCCCAAUCCAUUCUAGUCGUUGUCAUUCAUAACCAGUAGACUUGACUGGCGAUGUGUCCCACACCAGUCUAGGGAGCACAAACCAGCCCCAGCUGUGCCAAACUGUCUCUCUGCCCUGGUCUGAUGGCCCAGCUCCAACCCCUGAGCCACGCCCGCCCCCCCUCCCUUUCCCCCCAGUCCAUGUGAUGCAAUAAUAAUGACUACAUUAAUAGCAUGAUAACUACACUCAUAAUGAAGAUAAAUGUACUUAUGCAGCGCAGUGACCCUCUAUGAACACUAAACUUAAAGGGAUAUUUUGUAUGAAGUUAUUUUUCUUCAUCAGUCUCGUGUCGCAUCAUGUGGGAAAAGUUUCUACAUCUGUGCUUCAGCUACCUCCAAAAAAAUGGCUUGUUAGCAUUCCUCAUUACUGGUUAGCUCGCAGGUAGCGGUAUCCACUGGCAUGAAUGAGGAACGCUAACAAGCUGCCGUUCAGUUAACUGAAAUAACAGUGCAGAGCCUUUCUCACCAGCAUGUGGCAAGCGUUUAGUAAGGAAAAAUAACACACUGCAGCCCGAUGUGUCAAAGUAUCCCUUUGAGCGGUUUUAGAUAGGUAAAGCAUCAUUGCUACCCAGAUACUGGCAUGUAACCUGCUCAUGUUUACCAGACCUCGCUUCCUGUCCCAGAUUAGACUUUAAAACUAUGUCUACCUUUCUGUAUAACAAUGAGGCGACAUAUAGGCCUAUACAUGCCAUGCCUGUGCUCAAUCUCACACACACACACACACACACACAGAGGGACGAUUGCACUCCUUUGACUAAAUGUAGAGGACUUCCACAAUGAUGCCUUUGCCUUUAUCGCACUACAGUAUUGUAUGAGCUUGAACAACAGUGCCUUUAUUUAUUGAGAAUGAUGGAACAAUGUUACACCUAAAUAUGUUUAUAGUGUGGGUUCAUGCCCAGAGAUAAUGCUAUUAGGUUUUAAUAAUGCAGAAUAAUCAGGUCUGAAUGAAAAGUGUUGCAGCCUAAUUGUCAUCUACAUAUUAUGGCUUUACAUUCAUAACUCUUCUCAAUUCAUAUUUUAGUGCCAAAAAAAAGUGGCUGAACUGAAUUGGAAGUGCAUUGAAGUGUUUAAGCAGCUGCCAUAUCAGUAGAUUUCACUGAGCUCCAGUUACAAUGUCUGAUAUGUUUAUACGAGGACGGGAGGCCUCAUUAGAACAGUGUUAUAUUUUAGUUUAUUUUGUUUGUUGUUUCGAUUAUGGAGAUAGAUUUGUCUGUACGUAUAUUUACUUGUGUAUCCACUAUCUGAGAGCACACACAUACACACACGAUUCGACAGUGCUUUGUCCGAUGGGUGUGUUACUUUUGUAUGAGAGAUCCACGGUUCCUUUAAAGUGCACACAAACCAGCUGAUGCCUUGAUAAAAAAAAAAAAAAAAAUUCAUGGA